GCAAGUCGAGCGGUAACAGGAAUUAGCUUUCUAAUUUGCUGACGAGCGGCGGACGGGUGAGUAAUGCCUGGGAAUAUGCCUUAGUGUGGGGGAUAACUAUUGGAAACGAUAGCUAAUACCGCAUAACGUCUUCGGACCAAAGAGGGGGACCUUCGGGCCUCUCGCGCUAAGAUAAGCCUAGGUGGGAUUAGCUAGUUGGUGAGGUAAAGGCUCACCAAGGCAACGAUCCCUAGCUGGUCUGAGAGGAUGAUC
RNAcentral lists this ribosomal RNA (252 nucleotides) under uncultured bacterium. Its description in RNAcentral is "partial 16S ribosomal RNA". It matches the Rfam family "Bacterial small subunit ribosomal RNA", at positions 57 to 305 of the family's 1533-position model. The record is from RNAcentral.